This 304-nucleotide ribosomal RNA is filed under the name uncultured bacterium. Its description in RNAcentral is "partial 16S ribosomal RNA". It matches the Rfam family "Bacterial small subunit ribosomal RNA", at positions 506 to 807 of the family's 1533-position model. The record is from RNAcentral.
CAGCAGCAGCCGCGGGAAUACGUAGGGUGCGAGCGUUGUCCAGAAUUAUUGGGCGUAAAGAGCUUGUAGGUGGUUUGUCGCGUCUGCUGUGAAAAUCCGAGGCUCAACCUCGGACUUGCAGUGGGUACGGGCAGACUAGAGUGUGGUAGGGGAGACUGGAAUUCCUGGUGUAGCGGUGGAAUGCGCAGAUAUCAGGAGGAACACCGAUGGCGAAGGCAGGUCUCUGGGCCAUUACUGACACUGAGAAGCGAAAGCAUGGGGAGCGAACAGGAUUAGAUACCCCAGUAGUCCCUGUCUCUUAUAC